CAAAGUUUCUUUCAAUACUGGUUUAAUAGAGUCUUCAUCCUUUGGUGCUGGCUUACUCAUGAAUAAUGAAUGUUUUACUUUUUAUUUAGAUAAUGUGGUGCAGACACAACAUUGUUCAUCCUGCUGUUGGUGCAGAUUGCAAGAUGCUACACAUACUAUACAAAGUUAAAUAAUAAUCCGAAUUCCCAAGGCCUUUUGGCAUCUGCAAGAAUGAAUGGGAAAGCUAAUGGAAGGAGAGCUUUUUAGAUACGUCUGCUUCCAAUCUUUAGGGUUAGCAGCAGAUUUGCUAUCACAUUUGCAUGACUGGUGUCUCUGAACAGCCUGAGGCAGAUAUUAAGGAAAGAUCAGCAGUUACAGUGAAUGUCCAGGGCUGCACUAAUUACAAGGCUUGCUGUCAGAAUUUGAUGACUGUCAGUACCUGUCAGAACUUCUGCUUCCUGAAAGAGAUUUGUUUUUUUUCUAAUGCUGGGAUUUCAUCAAGAACCAGAAGACAGACAUCUAAGUAAGUAUAUUUAAAAUAUCU
This 523-nucleotide long non-coding RNA is filed under the name Phasianus colchicus (ring-necked pheasant). Its description in RNAcentral is "lncRNA (ENSPCLG00000008161.1)". The record is from RNAcentral. Lineage: Eukaryota; Metazoa; Chordata; Aves; Galliformes; Phasianidae.